This 450-nucleotide ribosomal RNA is filed under the name uncultured organism. RNAcentral describes it as "partial 16S ribosomal RNA". It matches the Rfam family "Bacterial small subunit ribosomal RNA", at positions 333 to 799 of the family's 1533-position model. The record is from RNAcentral.
ACACUCCUACGGGAGGCAGCAGUGGAGAAUAUUGGACAAUGGGCGCAAGCCUGAUCCAGCCAUGCCGCGUGAGUGAUGAAGGCCCUAGGGUUGUAAAGCUCUUUCACCGGUGAAGAUAAUGACGGUAACCGGAGAAGAAGCCCCGGCUAACUUCGUGCCAGCAGCCGCGGUAAUACGAAGGGGGCUAGCGUUGUUCGGAUUUACUGGGCGUAAAGCGCACGUAGGCGGACUAUUAAGUCAGGGGUGAAAUCCCGGGGCUCAACCCCGGAACUGCCUUUGAUACUGGUAGUCUUGAGUUCGAGAGAGGUGAGUGGAAUUCCGAGUGUAGAGGUGAAAUUCGUAGAUAUUCGGAGGAACACCAGUGGCGAAGGCGGCUCACUGGCUCGUUACUGACGCUGAGGUGCGAAAGCGUGGGGAGCAAACAGGAUUAGAAACCCUUGUAGUCCCAUG